AGAGUUUGAUCCUGGCUCAGGAUGAACGCUGGCGGCGUGCCUAAUACAUGCAAGUCGAGCGGUAACACUUCGGGUGACGAGCGGCGGACGGCAGAGUAACGCGUAGGAACGUACCCCGAACUGAGGGAUAAGCACCGGAAACGGUGUCUAAUACCGCAUAUUAUUUUCGAAUCAAAGCCUUCGGGCGGUUUGGGAGCGGCCUGCGUAUGAUUAGCUUGUUGGUGAGGUAAUGGCUCACCAAGGCGACGAUCAUUAGCUGGUCUGAGAGGAUGAUCAGCCUGACUGGGACUGAGACACGGCCCAGACUCCUACGGGAGGCAGCAGUAGGGAAUUUUCCGCAAUGGGCGAAAGCCUGACGGAGCAACGCCGCGUGCAGGAGGAAGGCCUUCGGGUCGUAAACUGCUUUUAACGGGGACGAUUAUGACGGUACCCGUAGAAUAAGGAUUGGCUAAUUCCGUGCCAGCCGCCGCGGUAAUAC
This 478-nucleotide ribosomal RNA is filed under the name uncultured bacterium. RNAcentral describes it as "bacterial SSU rRNA". It matches the Rfam family "Bacterial small subunit ribosomal RNA", at positions 8 to 526 of the family's 1533-position model. The record is from RNAcentral.